Molecule: small nucleolar RNA, 138 nt
Organism: Ornithorhynchus anatinus (platypus)
Lineage: Eukaryota; Metazoa; Chordata; Mammalia; Monotremata; Ornithorhynchidae
Source: RefSeq, a predicted model, not a curated record
AUCCUCUCAGAGUCGCACCUGGAGAGUUUCCAACACUCUACCAGUCUCGACUAAGGGAGGGAGAGUCAAGCAGAGGCCUGCCCAUUCCAUUCCUAGCUUGCGCAGUGGCUAGUGAGUGGCAGGCCAUCUGCCACACGU